GUAUCCUGGCUCAGGAUGAACGCUAGCGGCAGGCUUAACACAUGCAAGUCGAGGGGCAGCAUAAUGGAUAGCAAUAUCUAUGGUGGCGACCGGCGCACGGGUGCGUAACGCGUAUGCAACCUACCUUUAACAGGGGGAUAACACUGAGAAAUUGGUACUAAUACCCCAUAAUAUCAUAGAAGGCAUCUUUUAUGGUUGAAAAUUCCGAUGGUUAGAGAUGGGCAGUGCGUUGUAUUAG
This 238-nucleotide ribosomal RNA is filed under the name uncultured bacterium. Its description in RNAcentral is "partial 16S ribosomal RNA". It matches the Rfam family "Bacterial small subunit ribosomal RNA", at positions 14 to 244 of the family's 1533-position model. The record is from RNAcentral.